UGCAAAUUGAGAUUAAAAGUUUAGUAAUGAUACAUGAUAUAUGUAUAUAUAGCAUUCUUCAUUGUUUUAUUUUAUUAGAAUCAUUACUUUAACUAGUUUGAGAUUAUGAAAUAACUUUAUUGAUGAGAUAGUUGAUAUGAAACUUUCCCCUCUUUCAGAAGCAGAGUAAAGUUUCCACACAUAACUUCAUAUCCAUAUCCAAUUACAUUUAUGCCUGCCUAUUUAAAUAAGACAGCAAUUGGGUUUCCAACACUAUAUCCAUCAGCCACCCAUUUCAGGUAUCCCUGAGCAAAAGAUCUUCUAGCAUUCCCACUUCUGGUAAAUGUUACAGAGUAUGUAGCUUUCUGGUUCAGCCUGCUGAAACUAAUCCUGUAAGGUGUUACCUUAACACGUACGCCUUUAGGUGAAGAGAUGUGAAGAGAGUAGACUGAGUUGGGCUUGCCAACGUUUGUAAUUGUUCUUGAAUAUAUCUGUGGAGUAGAUCCCAAUUCGAUAGAAAAUGAAGGGUAAUUCAGCUGAGCUUCAGGAAUGCUUGAAUCAUUUGAGCACUUCACUUUGCGCUUCACUAUAAGCCCUACAUGUUUGUCAGAAUAACCAAGACCACAUAAGUAAGGAACGUAAUCAUCAGGUUUGAGGUCAUAAAUAAGCCCUGGAUCACUUGCUCUUGAUGGGUUCACAUGGCCUGCACCGAUGUCAAAGACAAUAGCCGGACGAUACUUUCUUUGUUCAGGAAUAGGCUUGCCUGCAAGAUUAUACAAAGAAGCAGUGGUCAUGAUGGCAGAUUUUAUAGCAGCAGGUGACCAGUUUGGGUGGGCACUUUUGAGUAGAGCAGCAAUGCCACUAAGAUGAGGGCAGGACAUUGAGGUACCAGAGAUCAUACCAAACCUGUUGGUAGUAUGAUCAUCUGAAACUGGAUAGGCAGCUAAAAUGUUCACACCAGGGCCUAUAAUGUCAGGUUUCAAGAUCCCUGGACUCGCGAUGCUAGGACCCCUCGAGGAAAACCAGGCCACUUGAGGAGCAGCCGGUACACCAGUUACGGUUCCUUUAAACAAGAUUGUAGCAGUCGGCGACGAUGUAGAGUUUAUAUAGGCUUUAAUUGCCAAGCCUGCCAUGUAACUCACACGUGAUGCAGGGAGCACAUGAUGUUCAGAAUCAAGCACGAUAACAGAGCCUUGAUACUCAUAAUUCAUUACAAUCAUGGCAGCGCCUCCAUUUCUUUUCACCUCUUUGCCUUUGGAAACUGUUUCAGACCCUCCUUCACAGAACACUAUCUUGCCUUUGACAUCAACAUUUUUCAAUGAUCCAUUUUUGCAGGAUGCAUAAACAAGUGGCAGUGAUGAUGAAGUAAAAUGUUUUGGCUGAAUAAGAGAUUCGCCAUUUAGCUCUUUAUUAUUUCCAAGCAACACUGUUGCUCGUAUUUCUCUGUCCACAGUGCUUGCUCCUACAGUUAGAAUCCAUGGUGCCUCAUUUGACAAAGUUCCAUAAAGAGGCCCUUUAUUUCCUGCUGAGCAGCUGACAAAUAUCCCCUUGUGAAUAGCAGCAAAUGCUCCAGUUGCAAUGGCAUCAUCAUAGAAAGGAUGAGAACCAAGACCAAGGGAAAGUGAAAGCACAUCAACUCCAUCAUCGAUGGCAGCGUCCAUUGCAGCCAGUAUCUCACUCUCGCCGGCCUUGUUACCUCUGGCAGAAACUUUGUACAUUGCCACGUGGGCUAAAGGUGCCAUGCCAAUUGCAGUGCCAUUGGCCUGCCCAAACAAAUUGGCACCUUUCACAGGACUUCCAGCUGCUGUGCUAGCAGUGUGUGUCCCAUGCUGAACCCUGUCCAAAAUGUCAUUACUGGUGGCGUCGAAUUUUCUCAAACCAAUAAGCUUGUUGUUGCACAGUGUUGCAUUGAACUCACAUUUCCCUUUCCAUUUUGCUGGCGGAGGAGGCAUUCCUUUACCGCUGAAUGAAGGGUGAUCAGGCGCUAUUCCACUGUCCACAACUCCAAUAAUCACUCCUUCGCCGUAAUUCGAAGAAUUCCAAAAUCCUAAAUUUUGCUGCAGACCCAAAAAGCUUGGCGUGUGGGUCGUGUGUAGAGGCACCAUCCUCUGAGGCCGGGCUAACAGCAACUCUUCCCUCAUUUCCAUUGCCUUUGCUUCGUCUGCUGUAAGUUUUGCAGCAAACCCAGUAACCACAUGGCGAUAGCAGUGAAGCAAACGUGGUUGGUUUGAGUUUAAAGUGUCAGCUGGCAAAAAUGAUCGAUACCAGCUUUCAAAAUCUUUGGACUCUGUGAACAAUUCUCCUUCUGGUUGCUUUAAGAGGACAAUAUAAGUCUCGAAGACGCUUUCUUCAUUCACAUAUCCAUUACUGGUUGAAGGAGUGAUCAAUGACUCAACGAUGACUAGAGAGGGGCUAAACAUAGAAGUGAGGAUAAAGAGGGACAUAAACAACAUGGUUGGCAAUAUUUUGCAUCUUCUGUUUUCCAUAUUGUUGGAAGGAAUAGAAAAUGCUGGAGCUUAUGAGCUUCGACAGCCAUAUCCAAGUACAUUUAUAGCAAAUUUGGACACAAAGAAAACACUGGUGUGUUGGUUAGAUCUCUCUUUAACCCCGUCCAUCGCGCUUAGUGGGACUCGCUAAUAAUGCAGUCAGUCCAUGCCGAAGAAAAGCAGAAACUAAAAUUUCAAUGGAAGUAUACUUGAUGGAUCCCUUUUGGUGACUUGUUUUGGAUUGUGUGAUUCUUGAAAAAUAUGUAUCCUAAUAAACCAAUUGAUGUUAUGGUGUCACCAUAUAGUUUUAUUUAUUGUAGUUUUUAUUUAUUAUGCUGUUAUUAUCCAUAUCUAUUGAUUGUUUAUUUAAAAUGUAC
This 2842-nucleotide unclassified non-coding RNA is filed under the name Hevea brasiliensis (rubber tree). Lineage: Eukaryota; Viridiplantae; Streptophyta; Magnoliopsida; Malpighiales; Euphorbiaceae. The record is from RNAcentral.